RNAcentral lists this long non-coding RNA (1070 nucleotides) under Elaeis guineensis (African oil palm). RNAcentral describes it as "long non-coding RNA (EGUI_LNC018560)". Lineage: Eukaryota; Viridiplantae; Streptophyta; Magnoliopsida; Arecales; Arecaceae. The record is from RNAcentral.
UAUAUAUAUNUAUAUAUAUAUAUAUAUAUAUAUAUAUAUAUAUAUGUUACUUGAAUUGUCUAUGUUGAUGAUUUCCAUUGUUUGGUUUGCAAUAUCACCAUCUAUUUGUGUAGAUUGGCUACUACAUAAGUUUGCAGCUAGAUGGUGAUGUUUUUGUAUCUAGAACUCUUUUCUUGACAAUUUCUUAUGAGCAAAAAAAAGCUGUUCAUAAAGAUUAGAUCUUUUAACAAGAAAAACAUCAAUUCUGAGUCUUUUAUUGUUGGUAGACCUAAAAAUCGGUGUCAAUAUUAGGGUAGAAUUAAUUUACAUAAAUAAAAUUUCAUGCUCCUUUGCAGGAUAAAUUAACAUGCCUUGCUGAAGCAUGAAACAACAAUAUCCCCAUGAAUUGUUUCCAUACUACCUAUACAAGGGAAAGUGAACUGUUAGUUGCAAACAGGAAAACCACAGAUGGAACUGCUAAUUAGUACAUCACAUUUCUUUGUCUUUAUUCAAAACCUUUGAAAUGUUAUAGUGAAGAAUUUUUCUCAUGUUUGCUGCUAAAAAUGAGAGUUAAAAAGGAGAAAUUUCCGGAGUGAAAAUUAUAUUCUUUGAUAUUAUGAAUUUCAAGUCCACAUAUUGAAGUAAUUAAUAAAUUCCAACCAUCUCCUUCAAAAGGGGAAAAAGAAAUGCACACAUAAGUUGCGAAAAAAAGAAAGAAAUUAAAAAAUACAUACAAAUAGAAGAGAUCUUACUUCAAGAAAGUACACAACCAUACAAGAUCAGCUGUAUGAAUACCAUUUUAUGAUUGGAUACCACAAGGCCAAAUCUAUGGAUGGGAAUUCCCAUGGAUCAUCUCUCACUCUUCCAUUAAAUUCAUCUUUAGUGGCUUUCUCCAUCUUUUGACUCUUAGAUCUAUCAUCAAGACCCGCUACACUCUGGCCAUCUAUGGCCUUCCUGUUCAUUUUACAUAAGCUAUACAGAUCUCAACUUCUGAACUAGUGAGUUGCUGUUUGCCGCCUUUGAUUCCAUAUCAACUAUUUAUUUUUUUGAGGAAUCCACAUCAAAUAUUUAUCUAUGAAGCCUACACNNNN